ACUACGGGGUGCAGCAGUGAGGAAUAUUGGUCAAUGGGCGCGAGCCUGAACCAGCCAAGUAGCGUGAAGGAUGACUGCCCUACGGGUUGUAAACUUCUUUUAUAAAGGAAUAAAGUGAGGCACGUGUGCCUUUUUGUAUGUACUUUAUGAAUAAGGAUCGGCUAACUCCGUGCCAGCAGCCGCGGUAAUACGGAGGAUCCGAGCGUUAUCCGGAUUUAUUGGGUUGAAAGGGAGCGUAGAUGGGUUGGUAAGUCAGUUGUGAAAGUUUGCGGCUCAACCGUAAAAUUGCAAUUGAUACUGGCAGCCUUGAGUACAGUUGAGGUAGGCGGAAUUCGUGGUGUAGCGGUGAAAUGCGUAGAUAGCACGAAGAACUCCGAUUGCGAAGGCAGCUUACUAAACUGCCACUGACAUUGAUGCUCGAAAGUGUGGGUAACAAACAGGAUUAGAUACCCUAGUAGUC
This 460-nucleotide ribosomal RNA is filed under the name uncultured bacterium. RNAcentral describes it as "partial 16S ribosomal RNA". It matches the Rfam family "Bacterial small subunit ribosomal RNA", at positions 338 to 795 of the family's 1533-position model. The record is from RNAcentral.